GAUGAACGCUGGCGGCGUGCCUAAUACAUGCAAGUCGAGCGAACAGACGAGGAGCUUGCUUCUCUGACGUUAGCGGCGGACGGGUGAGUAACACGUGGAUAACCUACCUAUAAGACUGGGAUAACUUCGGGAAACCGGAGCUAAUACCGGAUAAUAUAUUGAACCGCAUGGUUCAAUAGUGAAAGACGGUUUUGCUGUCACUUAUAGAUGGAUCCGCGCCGCAUUAGCUAGUUGGUAAGGUAACGGCUUACCAAGGCAACGAUGCGUAGCCGACCUGAGAGGGUGAUCGGCCACACUGGAACUGAGACACGGUCCAGACUCCUACGGGAGGCAGCAGUAGGGAAUCUUCCGCAAAGGGCGAAAGCCUGACGGAGCAACGCCGUGUGAGUGAUGAAGGUCUUCGGAUCGUAAAACUCUGUUAUUAGGGAAGAACAAAUGUGUAAGUAACUAUGCACGUCUUGACGGUACCUAAUCAGAAAGCCACGGCUAACUACGUG
This 497-nucleotide ribosomal RNA is filed under the name uncultured bacterium. Its description in RNAcentral is "partial 16S ribosomal RNA". It matches the Rfam family "Bacterial small subunit ribosomal RNA", at positions 28 to 507 of the family's 1533-position model. The record is from RNAcentral.